AGGACGUCAGGAACGCCCGACGUAACGUACGUCGAAUUCCAGCGUGGAACGCAAAGAACGCAGUGACGUCACGGUUGUUUAUGCACGUUGCUGGGUGGAGGAGCGGCGGAGUGGAUGUCGGUGCUGGCUGGAGUCGCCCUUCGGGGCCCCGCCGGUCUUCUCCUGGACUGAUAACGAGCUCGACCAGCGGGAUGAAGACAUUGUUUCAAGAGAUCAAAGCUUCCAUUAAGAACAACUCGGACCAGGAUCGAUCUUUCUGGAGGCCAGUACUGCCCUGGGGAGGGGUCUUCACCAUUAAAGCCGGCAGGAAAGCGGUGUCUUGUAUGCCAUUGUACGUGGAGAUAACGCUGAAGAACACCUGCACUAUCGAUGGCUUCUUAAUGCUGCUGUAUGUCAUCCUGCGCGAGAAUAAUUCCUUCCCCCGGGAGCUGUCGGUCUACUUGGGCCGGGAGUUUGUGGAUUGCUUCCUUCACCUGAUGGACACCUACAGCUUCACCUCGGUAAAGCUGCUGUGGAUAUGGGACAAGAUGGAGAAGCGGCAGUACAAGUCCGGGAUACACAAGGCCACUCUGGAGAUUGACUUGUUUGGUAACGAGCACGAGAAUUUCACUAGAAAUCUGGAGCAUCUCAUGGCCACCAUACAAGAGAGUUACUGCUCCAACUCCAGGUGCCCGCUCCGUGCCCGGGAGAGCCACAUGCAAACUAUUCUAAUCAACCCUCCCCAUGACAUACCGCAUGGAGAUCUCAUUCAGAUGGCGGUGGAUGAGCUGUUUUGCUCUCGGAUUGAAGUAUGUGAAGAGAUUGGGUGCGGCUGCCUGAGAGAAUUUUCCCAGCGGAUUUUCUGCCACGGAGCUCCUCCAUUUGUCAUCUUAAACAUGGAACAGUGGAAGUCAGAAGAUCUGGCUUAUGUGCCGUAUUAUCUGGACUUAUCCGACCAUAAGUAUCUUCUAGAAGGCGCCACUCUUUUCAACAAGGAAGAGCACCAUUACUCCGCAGCAUUCCAGAUCGAUGGGUAUUGGAUGCAUUACGACGGCCUCAGGAAUGUAAACUUAAUCCUCUUACACAAACCUCCGGAGCUGCUCCUCUUGUCAUCGCUGGUUUACAUACGUGCAGCCGAGAAAUGACCGGAAUUUCUUUUUUUUUUUUUUUACAGAAUUCUAUUUUUUUAAGGUGCAAUUUAGAAAAAUGGAAAUUUUAGAAAAAAAAAAGUUUACAUUUUUGUAAUUGAUAGAAACUUUAAUCAUGUUGGUGCUAAAAAUGUUUAAUAUUUCAGCUACGCUGUCUCUUCUACAAGGUAGAGUGGAGGUGAAGCUACACGCUGUGGAGACGGUAUUCUUUCUAUAGAGAUAUAUGGAGCAGGUAUACAGAGAAGUUUCUUACAGCGGUGACGCGCAGACCCCCUAGAAAUAUCUGCAGAAUGACAGGUAACUUGUGAUGUGCUGUAAAAUGUACAGGAGCACAAUGUGGCGGUAGCUGUGUGUAGUGCUAUGUAAUGCAAAUGGUUAAUAUCAAGUCGGAUAAUCUAGCCGGACAGUGUAAGGAUAAAGCAAUAUACUUGAUUUGUGCUAUAACGUUACACAAUCAUGAUGUACGUGUGGGGUCAGGUUCUUUCGGUUUCCUUUAAUGUCAUUUAUAGGUUAUUAUAGGUUAUUGUUUCAUAUAUGGAAUCAUGUCAUUAACUGUUUCACGGGGUAGGACCACCAUGAGAGGUGAUGGCAUAUCACUUGGAUAUAUCGUCACCUCAUGGACCUCUGCGUCCCCCACAGUCAACGUUUACCCUGCACAUCGGCGUACAGGGAGUGUCUGUGAAGGAGUCUUCUUUCUGAAGAUUUGUAGGGCCCGUUUAACCCUUAGGGCCAUACACUUUCAUACACUUGUGCAGCUCAGAGCUAUCACUUCCCACACAGGCCGAGCAUGCAUGUGUUUCCAACAGGGGGAGAGGGAAAUGAGCCAUUGCUCAUCACCCUUCAGAACAAAGUUCGGCCAUGUUGAAAUGUGAGCAUGUCCAAUCCUUUCGCCCCCUAAUCUGUGAUGAACACGGGCUUAGCAUUUCAUACAGAUUAGAGGGUCACCUGCUCCCGCCAAAGUCUGCAGAUUUUGCCAACCAAAGUAAUGUUUAUGGCCCGCUUAAAGGGGUUUUUCUCGGAUUAAAAUUUUGAUGACCUACACUCUGCAUAGCUCGUCAUUAUCAAGUCGGUGGGGGUCUGACACCCCGACGAUCGGCUGUGUGAAGAGGCUGCGGUGUUCGGGGUGAAUGUCACGUCCAUAGGCUUACAUAAGGAUAAAUCAUAAAUAUUUAAUUACAAAAAAAAAAAACUUUCAUUGUAAUCUGGGCAUAGACUGUCCAUUAGUAUUGGUGGUUAACAUGAAGCUGCAUUUCCAUUCCGUAAAUGCCAGCCGUGCGAUCAGCGGAUCAGCACGGGUCCGGUUUCUGACCUCCCCAGUGAUCAGCUGAAAACUCCAGACCAGCCAUACAUUUCCCUGUAGGUGAAACGGCAAUUCAAAAUUAUGUUUAAAGGGGUUGUGCAGUGCAAAGAUAUUGGUGCCCAAUCCUCAGGAUAGGUCAUCACUUCCAGAUCGGCGGGGUUCUGACUCCGGGCACCACCACCCGUAAUUAUACUGUGCCACCGCUGCAACUGAUCGGCAGGGGGGUCCUGGGAGUCAGACCCCCGCCACGCUGGUAUUGAUGACCUCUCUUGAGGAUAGGUCAUCAAUAUCUUUGCACUGCACAACCCUUUGGGCAUGAAGACCCUUUAAUAGGGCAUAUGGAAAGGGGGUUAUUCUGCUGGCACAACCCCUUGCCUUGCUGCUUAUGCUUCUGUCCUAGAAUAUAAUGGAGCGUGUUUGCACAUUUAUGGCUAACUUUUGGGCAGUCUGUUAUCUAACAUCCAGCCCAUCCAAGCCCAGCAGCCCAUACCUUUUUACCAUUGUAUGACAGUGACGUAUAUAUAAAUCGUGCCUUCCAUUUUUAUUUUUCCAUGGAUGUUUCCAGUAACCAGUGGGUUGUGCUUAUAGGGCAGUGGUGGCGAACCUAUGGCACGGGUACCAGAGGCAGCACUCAGAGCCCUCUCUGUAGGCACCCGCACCCUGGAAACAGUCUAAGUUGUACCACUAUGCCUUCGAAUUUUCCUGCCAUUUGUCAGCGCAGGGCGCGCUAUUAACGGCACAGGCAGCGCACUGAAUGUAGGCAGGUUGUUAUAGCCGUACAUGGAAGAUGCACUAUAUUGGACUGUAGCAUUCAGGUUAAACUGGUGUGUU
Molecule: RNA transcript, 3258 nt
Organism: Bufo bufo (common toad)
Lineage: Eukaryota; Metazoa; Chordata; Amphibia; Anura; Bufonidae
Gene: DORIP1
Gene name: chromosome 11 C14orf28 homolog
Exons: 6
Source: RefSeq, a predicted model, not a curated record